AUGUAGUGAGACCUUCUUUGGAAGGGGGCAGGACGAAGCCACAGCAGGCUUGGAUUUCUUUCUUUCCCUUGGGACAAUCGAAUAGUGACUUCCAUGGCUGGCCUGUCUGCCUGUCUUUCUGUCUCCUGCUCAGAUCUGGUCACCACCCAGCAGACCCCUAGACCCCUAAAAACCCUAGACCUCAGGCUGGGGUAGGUUCUCCCCACCACAGUCACUCCACAAGCUUCUCAGAAUUGCAUGUCUCCCAGCUGUACAAGGCAACCCUAGUGGUGUUGAGGAAAAACCUAAAGAAGGCCAUCCGGCGUGCUGAGUGCAGGGAAGUGCCAAAUGCUAGGGAGGCUUGGGCACUCUCAACAGUUCAAGGCCCAUAUUACAACUUCCAAGAGCAGAGUGGAUGGCUCACAAACCAGCAAUGGUCAAGGGCCAUUUCCUUCUCUGGUCCUGGACGAAGAGGCUACAAAGGGUAAUGGUUUGUAGGAAGCUAUUCGUUCAGCCACUGGGUGUGCCAAUAACAAAGACCAAGAAGGAAAAACACCUCUCCAGGAAUGAUUCUCUAGCAGGUCACAGAGAGAAGCAGCUCUUCUACCUUCCUGGAUGAACAGCCACGUGAACUUCCAAUAAGAACACGAGCUUACAGGAUGAGUUAUUUCCUUCUGACCCAAGCAAAGAACAUGGCCCAUUUCCUGCUCAUCAAAGAACUUCAUUAGAGGGAAACUGCAGACACAGCAUUCAGUUAUAAAAACCCAUUCAAAUUUUACUAGUGUAAUGUGCUUAUUUCUGGAUUUAAUCUACAUA
Molecule: long non-coding RNA, 795 nt
Organism: Callithrix jacchus (white-tufted-ear marmoset)
Lineage: Eukaryota; Metazoa; Chordata; Mammalia; Primates; Cebidae
Source: RefSeq, a predicted model, not a curated record